UUAUGCCCAGGGCUACACACGUGCUACAAUGGCCGGUACAAAGGGUCGCAAACGUGCGAACGGGAGCUAAUCCCAAAAAGCCGGUCCCAGUUGGAAUCGCAGUCUGCAACUCGACUGCGUGAACGCGGAAUCGCUAGUAAUCGCGAAUCAGCAGGUCGCGGUGAAUACGUUCCCGGGUCCUGUACACACCGCCCGUCACACCACGAAAGCCGAUUGUACUUGAAGUCGCUGGGCUAACCCGCAAGGGAGGCAAGUGCCGAAGGUAUGGUCGGUGAUUGGGGUGAAGUCGUAACAAGGUAGCC
RNAcentral lists this ribosomal RNA (302 nucleotides) under uncultured bacterium. RNAcentral describes it as "bacterial SSU rRNA". It matches the Rfam family "Bacterial small subunit ribosomal RNA", at positions 1202 to 1501 of the family's 1533-position model. The record is from RNAcentral.